RNAcentral lists this transfer RNA (69 nucleotides) under Scinax littoreus. Its description in RNAcentral is "tRNA-Val". It matches the Rfam family "tRNA". From Rfam's summary of the family: Transfer RNA (tRNA) molecules are approximately 80 nucleotides in length. Their secondary structure includes four short double-helical elements and three loops (D, anti-codon, and T loops). Lineage: Eukaryota; Metazoa; Chordata; Amphibia; Anura; Hylidae. The record is from RNAcentral.
CAAAAUGUAGCUUAACCAAAGCAUCUCGCUUACACCGAGAAAACACCCGUUCAACCCAGGUCAUUUUGA